Molecule: long non-coding RNA, 856 nt
Organism: Betta splendens (Siamese fighting fish)
Lineage: Eukaryota; Metazoa; Chordata; Actinopteri; Anabantiformes; Osphronemidae
Exons: 3
Source: RefSeq, a predicted model, not a curated record
ACAGAACAUGCGGCAUGUUUCAUAUGUGAUAUUCAUUAUAGAUGAUUCUCUGCCGUAUGGAGGAGGCAGGAGAGCUUUGAAGGAGCUGGCACCCGUGAAGAACCGUGGCCACCUGAGCCCACCAAGAGCUGGGAUUGGGCGGACGAGGUUUGAAUGCUGACGAAGCGAGGGAGGAGGAGGAGGAGCUCAUCUGCAUCCCGUUUUCCCCUUCUCUGCAGCUCCAGCUUCGCCCGAACACAGCAGCUUUUCACUCGAUGUUGGGAAUUUUUGCUAUUUUGUGCAGUCCAGCAGAGCUCCCCUCUGAUGGGACAGUUCAGAGCUGAUCUCCUGCAUCGUGCAGCCCGAGCGAGUAUCAGCUUUGUGUGUUUCCACGUGUGGAGGCUCACGUCCAGGUCCUAAUUGAUCACAAUGUAACUGGCAAACUGUUCUUUGGCACAAGGAAAAAAAGGUGGAAAUACGGUAUGUUACUGUGAAAAGCACAGUGCCAGCUGUUACUGUUUGAAUGAAGAUGUUUCUAAAAGCUGACCUACUGCACUUUGUCUCUUAGUUCUGAUGAAGCUGCCUUCAUUUUGUUCACAUGUACCUGUAACAAACCUAACUCACCUGCUUUACCUGACUUCUGGCUGGACUUCCUACAGCACAAUUGGCCUGAUUCCUGAAAAACCGAGCGACAGCAGCAGCGAAAGUGUGGCAUUGUACGAGGUAACAAUUAUAUCUCGCAGGUCAAACAACAACCGGUGCUUGUUUCCAAAAGUUGCGAGAAGAAUCACAGCUAUUUCCUCGGAUUUCUAUUUUGCUCUGCUCCACUGAAGAACAUCUAAAAUGCAUAAAAUCUCCCACUCUGCUGUGAAAAUAU